GGGUUGUGAGGUUAAGCGACUAAGCGUACACGGUGGAUGCCCUGGCAGUCAGAGGCGAUGAAGGACGUGCUAAUCUGCGAAAAGCGCCGGCGAGGUGAUAUGAACCUUUGACCCGGCGAUGUCCGAAUGGGGAAACCCAGUGCAAUUCGUUGCACUAUCGUUAACUGAAUACAUAGGUUAACGAGGCGAACCGGGGGAACUGAAACAUCUAAGUACCCCGAGGAAAAGAAAUCAACCGAGAUUCCCCCAGUAGCGGCGAGCGAACGGGGAGCAGCCCAGAGUCUGAAUCAGCUUGUGUGUUAGUGGAAGCGUCUGGAAAGUCGCACGGUACAGGGUGACAGUCCCGUACACGAAAGCACACAGGUUGUGAACUCGAAGAGUAGGGCGGGACACGUGGUAUCCUGUCUGAAUAUGGGGGGACCAUCCUCCAAGGCUAAAUACUCCUGACUGACCGAUAGUGAACCAGUACCGUGAGGGAAAGGCGAAAAGAACCCCGGCGAGGGGAGUGAAAAAGAACCUGAAACCGUGUACGUACAAGCAGUGGGAGCACC
RNAcentral lists this ribosomal RNA (551 nucleotides) under Enterobacter sp. K66-74. Its description in RNAcentral is "bacterial LSU rRNA". It matches the Rfam family "Bacterial large subunit ribosomal RNA", at positions 1 to 583 of the family's 2925-position model. The record is from RNAcentral. Lineage: Bacteria; Pseudomonadati; Pseudomonadota; Gammaproteobacteria; Enterobacterales; Enterobacteriaceae.